Molecule: long non-coding RNA, 1053 nt
Organism: Chelonia mydas (Green sea turtle)
Lineage: Eukaryota; Metazoa; Chordata; Testudines; Cheloniidae
Exons: 4
Source: RefSeq, a predicted model, not a curated record
AUACAAAUGAAUUUACAGCUGCCAUGACCCCAGGAGACAGCCAUUUUUCCGUACCUCCUCACAGCAAACAACCAUUGGAAUUGUACCAUUUGUACCGUGGAGCAGGAUUUCCUUGGACAUUGCAGUCAAUCAAGGCACUCUUCCCUUCCUUGACUGUAAUAUGAUCAACUAUGGAGAUAAUCACAGUCAAAUGUGAAGAAUAUCUACUUUGAAAAUACAGCAUCAAGAGUGCGGAAGGUUUCCUGAGGAGUGCUAAAUACUUUCCAGGGUGCAAGGGUCAGGCAUUUCUGAAAAAUCCUAAACAGUGUUUUGGAUUUGGGGCUUGGGCAACAAAUGUUUUCAGACACUACAAAAGACACCAAGGUAACUAAACAUUGUAGGAAAUCCUCUUCUGUCUGUGCCAAAGUGCUAUUAGAGAGGAACAAAGAAUGGAAACACAAAAUAAGUUCUGAUUAAGACCCCCACAGCUGCAGAUUGAAUCUGAUCCUCCAGUCCUCACUCAGUUCCAAGUUUCCAUUGAGUUCAUUAGGCCCAAACCCAGCAUCCUGAAAUGUUUUCCGACCUCUCCUCAAAUCCCAACAGCUGAAGCAGUACACUUUAAGUACACAAAUUAAUCCCAUCCUUUUUAUGAGACCCAAUAACUGUGAUGUUAGCAUUUUUGUCACUGAAUGGGGAAAAAUUAUAAAUGAUUAAUCUUUGUCACUGUAAAUAAUGUAUUUAUUUCUGUCUUUGGCAUAUGAACAGACACAUCUGUAUAAGCCAAUUAUUAAAUUAAUCAGACUUCAAGUCUAAAGAAGUUUUUAAAAAAGUCUACUUGUAUGGCCAAAUUAUCUCCUUCCUGUGGAAAGGGGAAAGAACUUCUUUAGCUGUGCUGUGUUACCUCCUUGGAAGUAUUAGUCGGGACAGAGAGAAGAUAUGAUCACCUACUAGGAUGGAAGCUGAAGAUCCAUGAGGAAUCUCAGCAUUCACUCGAGGGCUCUUGGCACACACAUGUGCAGCAUCUGCCCCUCCACGUGCUGUUCUGGGCAACCUUUCUCACAGCAACGCGUUUAC